GAUGAACGCUGGCGGCGUGCCUAAUACAUGCAAGUCGAGCGAACAGAUGAGAAGCUUGCUUCUCUGAUGUUAGCGGCGGACGGGUGAGUAACACGUGGGUAACCUACCUAUAAGACUGGGAUAACUCCGGGAAACCGGGGCUAAUACCGGAUAAUAUUUUGAACCGCAUGGUUCAAUAGUGAAAGUCGGUUUCGGCUGUCACUUAUAGAUGGACCCGCGCCGUAUUAGCUAGUUGGUAAGGUAACGGCUUACCAAGGCGACGAUACGUAGCCGACCUGGGACGGUGAUCGGCCGAACGGGAACUGGUACACGGUCCCGCCUCCUACGGGAGGCAGCAGUAGGGAAUCUUCCGCAAUGGGCGAAAGCCUAACGGAGCAACGCCGCGUGAGUGAUGAAGGUCUUCGGAUCGUAAAACUCUGUUGUUAGGGAAGAACAAAUUUGUUAGUAACUGAACAAGUCUUGACGGUACCUAACCAGAAAGCCACGGCUAACUACGUGCCAGCAGCCGCAGUAA
RNAcentral lists this ribosomal RNA (514 nucleotides) under uncultured bacterium. RNAcentral describes it as "partial 16S ribosomal RNA". It matches the Rfam family "Bacterial small subunit ribosomal RNA", at positions 28 to 523 of the family's 1533-position model. The record is from RNAcentral.